UGUAUGUAGUGCACUAGGACUCGGGUUUGGAAUUCAGCCUUCAGAGCUCAAACGGCAACAAAGGACGUUGUCAUAGCAACCACGCGCGUUCUACAGCCUGCUUUGUAAACAAACGCCGAAGAAGCUGGUGAGAGUUCUCCCAAGGUUCUUCAUCAUCAUCAUCAUCAGCACCAACAUGCCGCUCCUGAUCAGUGAUCACACCUGGACCCAGACCGAGAGCACGGUGUGUGUCCGCGUGCCGUUAAAAGCCGUUAAACCGGGGAAAGUGGACGUUACGUGCACGGAGGAGUAUCUGAAGGUCAGUUUCCCUCCGUUUCUGUUCGAGGCCUUCUUCUUCGCGCCGAUAGACGAAGAGAAAAGCGUGGCGAAAAUCGGAAACGGCGUCGCGCUUUUCACACUGCCCAAAAAGACAGCAGGCCUCUGGGAGCGGCUCAGUGUAAACAUCGGGAAAGACAAACAGAAAGAGAUUCGAGAAGGAGCCGUCAUCAAGAGCCAGAAGAAGGCGAUGGAGAAAGAGGAAGAGAAAGUCCUGAGGAUUCAUCAGGAGAGGAAGUACACACUGGAGACCAUGAUGAAGAUCGAGGAAGAGGAGCGAGCGAGAAUCCAGAGGAUGAAGGACGAAGAGUGUGCGAGAGCCUUAAAGGAGCUGGAGUCCUGGAAAGAGAAGCAGAAGGAAGCGGAAGAGGAAGAAGAGGCUCGACGAAGGCUACAGGAAGCAGCCGAGCAGGAGACGAAGCAAGUUCAUCAGCGCAGAAAGCCUGAGAAGGUUAUAGCACCUGUACGAAACCCGAGCAGAGCUGAAGGUGAGAUGAGCAGUGGGAAAAAGUCCAGACAGGUGGAUCUUCCUGCUCCGAGAUCAACAAGCUGCGUGAAGGUCAGCUUCACCCCCCGGGUCUUGCCCACGCCCUCACGAGAGUCUUACGUCCAACAGGAAGAAGAGUGGCUCAGGCAGCAGGCCGAGGCGAGACGGGCGGUGAACGCUGAUCUGGCUGAGCUGGAUGAUCUGACGGAGGAGGAGAGAAACCCUGACUGGCUCAAGGAUAAAGGAGAUAAAUUCUUCGCCGCUGGGAACUACCAGGCCGCGGUCAACGCCUACGACCUGGCCAUCAAACUCAACCGCCGGAUUCCUGCUCUGUUCUCCAACCGAGCAGCUUGUCAUCUGAAGCUGAGAAACCUGCACAAAGCCAUCUGGGACAGUUCUCAGGCUCUGGAGCUGCUCACGCCAGCCGUCUCUGCUAACGCUGCAGCCCGGAUGAAGGCCCACGUGAGGAGAGGAACCGCUUUCUGUCAGCUCGAGCUCUAUGUAGAAGGUACAGUUUACAACAGAACACAGAGCCACGUGAACAUUCAUAAGCCUGUGGAACUCUUCUGCUGAGGCUGGAUGAUGGACAUCUCCUGACAUGACCAGUGAUCUGAAGCAUGAACGUUACGUUCAACGUAAUGGAGUGCUGGUUUAGUGUGAUAAGCUGAGAUUCAGUGCAGUUCAGUGUUGUUCAAGCCACGCCUCCUUCACUAGGACUGACAGACACAAAGGCCAUGCCUCCUUCUCUAAAACUAGCAGGCUCCAAGGCCACGCCUCCUUUUCUCAAUCUAGCAGGCUCAAAGGCCACGCCUCCUUUUCUCAAUCUAGCAGGCUCAAAGGCCACACCUCCUUUUUCUAAAUCUGGCAGGCUCAAAGGCCACGCCUCCUUCUCUAAAUCUAGAAGGCUCAAAGGCCACGCCACCUUCACUAGGACUGACAGACACAAAGGCCACGCCUCCUUCACUAGGACUGACAGACAAAAAUGCCACGCCUCCUUCUCUAACACUAACAGGCUCAAAGGCCACGCCUCCUUCACAAACAGACAAAGGACAUGCCUCAGCACGUCAGGCUCAAAGACCACACAUCCUCCACUAGGACAGACAGACACAGAGGCCACGCCUAUUUCACUAGGACUGACACAAAUGCCACGCCCACUUCACUAGGACAGACAGACACAAACACCACGCCUCCUUCACUUGGCCUGACAGGCACAAAGGCCACGUCUCCUCUAAAACUAACAGGCUCAUAGACCAUGCCUCCUUCAUUAUGACAGACAGACACAAGGGCCACGCCUUCUUCACUCUUUUGUGACACAGCCAGGCCUGCCAUGAUGGCUGUACUGCAGUCAUGAAUUCUGUGUUUUCAGGCUGUUGUACUGUGAAAGGCUAAGCUUACUCAAUUACUCCUAGAACCAUGGGCGGUGUUCAGGAUCGUGUUAACGUUACUGAUGAAAGCCUGAAAGUUGUGAACCCUCUUUCCUCCUCAUUACUCCUUUAAUACUGUAUAAUUCGAGCAUGCUCCUUAGGAUCAGAUUUAAACCCUUCGAUCACAACAGUCUGAGUGCUUUUCCGUUUCAUCCACAGGGCUUCAGGACUACCAGGCUGCUCUCAGGAUCGAUCCACACAACCAGGCUCUGCAGGCAGACACGGAGAAGAUCCGGGAGAUCGUUCAAGGCACCAGACCGAGCUCAAAAUGACUAGGGAAAAGUCCGUUCCGAUGCUUACCGAGUCCUAAACAUGAGUGAUGGCGUGUUUUAUCUUUUAUAAUACCGGCAGUGUUCCCUUUCAAAGGGGUCUUCACGUUGCGUUUAGCAUAACACUAUGGGAGCACCUCUCGCGCUUGACUGGUAUCUGAAGCUUGUGUAAAAUCAUGCCUAUUUAUAGGCCUGCCGUGAUCAAGCGACGAGGCAAUUACGCGCGUCUCGUGAUAUAAAUAUGGCGCCUGUGAACCGCGCCGUCAGCCUCUAUUAUCUUAAGCGAAAGACUGCAUGUCGUUUGUCUGUGUAAAGAAACAAAAAGACGCUUCAUUUCCUGUCUAUCUCUUCUCAAAAUCUCAGAACUUUUCUAUCCCUUUAAAAAAAAAAGAAAAGGAAUGAGCGAGAGAGAAAAAUAUGAGUCAGAGAAUUCACGUGGGUUACGGCUUGCUCACGUUUCAUCACGGGGAAUAGUGCACAUAUAUGUAUGUAUAUAUAUAAUCUUUGUUAAAUAUAGGUGUGCAACAAUAUAUACAUAUUGAUAAACCUGUGUUGUGUUUGGAAUUGUUUGAUAUCCAUGACAGCAGAGUAUUUUUGUGAAUUUUUCUAACAAAAGAUCCAAAGGUUCAACAAUAAAGACAAUUUUUCACAGCC
Molecule: RNA transcript, 3149 nt
Organism: Ictalurus furcatus (blue catfish)
Lineage: Eukaryota; Metazoa; Chordata; Actinopteri; Siluriformes; Ictaluridae
Gene: dnaaf4
Gene name: dynein axonemal assembly factor 4
Exons: 9
Source: RefSeq, a predicted model, not a curated record